UAAAAGUCUGAUCUGCCCCCUGACUUUAAGUUAAAUGGCCGCAGUAUUUUGACUGUGCAAAGGUAGCAUAAUAAUUAGUUUUUUAAUUGAAGGCUAGAAUGAAUGAUUGGACGAAAUAUAAGCUGUUUCAAUAAAAAUUAUUGAAUUUUAUUUUUUAGUUAAAAAGCUAAAAUAUUUUUGAAAGACGAGAAGACCCUAUAGAUCUUUAUAUUAUUUAUUCUAUUUUUUGUAAGGUAAUUGAUUGAAUUUGGUUUUUAAAUUAAUAUUUUAUUGGGGUGAUAGUGAAAUUUAUUUAACUUUCAUUAAAUGUUUUACAUUGAUUAGUGGAUUAGUGAUCCUUUUUUAUGGAUUAAAAAUUUAAGUUACCUUAGGGAUAACAGCGUAAUUAUUUUGGAGAGUUCUUAUCGAUAAAAUAGAUUGCGACCUCGAUGUUGGAUUAAGAUUAAUUUCAGAUGUAGCGGUUUGGUAUAUUAAGUCUGUUCGACUUUUAAUUUCUUACAUGA
RNAcentral lists this ribosomal RNA (503 nucleotides) under Scotiomyia cf. singaporensis SNK-2009. RNAcentral's name for it is "partial 16S ribosomal RNA". It matches the Rfam family "Bacterial large subunit ribosomal RNA", at positions 1847 to 2603 of the family's 2925-position model. Lineage: Eukaryota; Metazoa; Arthropoda; Insecta; Diptera; Dolichopodidae. The record is from RNAcentral.